RNAcentral lists this ribosomal RNA (549 nucleotides) under uncultured bacterium. RNAcentral describes it as "partial 16S ribosomal RNA". It matches the Rfam family "Bacterial small subunit ribosomal RNA", at positions 355 to 920 of the family's 1533-position model. The record is from RNAcentral.
UGGGGAAUAUUGCACAAUGGGCGAAAGCCUGAUGCAGCAACGCCGCGUGAGUGAUGAAGGCCUUCGGGUUGUAAAGCUCUGUCUUUUGGGACGAUAAUGACGGUACCAAAGGAGGAAGCCACGGCUAACUACGUGCCAGCAGCCGCGGUAAUACGUAGGUGGCAAGCGUUGUCCGGAUUUACUGGGCGUAAAGGAUGCGUAGGCGGAUUUUUAAGUGAGAUGUGAAAACCCUAAGCUUAACUUGGGGACUGCAUUUCAUACUGGAAAUCUAGAGUGCGGGAGAGGAGAAUGGAAUUCCUAGUGUAGCGGUGAAAUGCGCAGAGAUUAGGAAGAACACCAGUGGCGAAGGCGAUUCUCUGGACCGUAACUGACGCUGAGGCAUGAAAGCGUGGGUAGCAAACAGGAUUAGAUACCCUGGUAGUCCACGCCGUAAACGAUGAGUACUAGGUGUAGGAGGUAUCGACCCCUUCUGUGCCGCAGUUAACACAAUAAGUACUCCGCCUGGGAAGUACGAUCGCAAGAUUAAAACUCAAAGGAAUUGACGGGGUC